Molecule: ribosomal RNA, 465 nt
Filed under: uncultured bacterium
Lineage: Bacteria
Description: partial 16S ribosomal RNA
Rfam family: Bacterial small subunit ribosomal RNA
Source: RNAcentral
GACGAACGCUGGCGGCGUGCUUAACACAUGCAAGUCGUACGGUAACGCCCUUUUGGUGGUACACGUGUGGCCGACUGGUGAGUAACACGUUAAUAACCUGCCACCUACUUAGGAAUAACGCUAGACAAAUCGUGAUAUUACUUAAUAUCUGCUCCUUCCUGAUGGAGAAAGUUGGGAAGCGCCGGCGGUGGUGGUAUGACUCGCGGCCUAUACGCUUGUGGUUGUGGUUGUGGCCUACCAAGGCGACGACGGGUAGCCGGCCUGAGAGGGUGAGCGGCCACAUUGGGACCGAGGGACGGCCCAAGUGCCGAAGGGUGGCAGCAGGGGGGAAUAUUGCACAAUGGGAGCAAGGCGGAUGCAGCAACGCCGCGGGUGGGAUAACGGCCUUCGUGGUGUAAACCGCUUUCGGCAGGAACGCAGCUUUUGGUGACGGUACCUGAAGAAGAAGCACCGGCUAACUACGUG